GGCCGCCGAACAUUGCAUGGAUGCGGAAGCGCAUUCGGCCCCUGAACGUGGCCUGGCCAGCCACUAUAAAUGGGGCACUUAGCCGAAAUGGGCGAGCUUUCUCCCAUUUUCGGCCACAGCGAGCUUCCGACCUUCCUCUUGCAAAUCUAGUGUUCUUCCUCCAAAUCCCCACCAUUUUUCUUGAGUUUUAACCUCACAUUGCAAGUUUUGAAGUUUUGAAACGAGUUUUGGAGCUUUGGGAACUCAGGAGCUCAUUUUCGUGGAUCUCCAAGUUUAGGUCGUCUCCCUCUCGAUCUUCAAGAGGUAAGGGCCGAUCUUAAGCUCCUUAUGUGUUUUAAAUAAGUUUUAUGCAAGAUCUAUGGGUAGAAAUGCAUGUUAGGGUAUAUGUUGAGUUUAUGGGUUAAUAUUGAUGUUUUGAACAAUGUGGCUUGUUUGUGUGUGUUUGAAGUGUUGUAGUUGGGGUAUUUG
RNAcentral lists this long non-coding RNA (468 nucleotides) under Manihot esculenta (cassava). RNAcentral describes it as "long non-coding RNA (MESC_LNC006326)". Lineage: Eukaryota; Viridiplantae; Streptophyta; Magnoliopsida; Malpighiales; Euphorbiaceae. The record is from RNAcentral.